Molecule: ribosomal RNA, 460 nt
Filed under: uncultured bacterium
Lineage: Bacteria
Description: partial 16S ribosomal RNA
Rfam family: Bacterial small subunit ribosomal RNA
Source: RNAcentral
CCUACGGGAGGCAGCAGUGAGGAAUAUUGGACAAUGGACGGAAGUCUGAACCAGCCAUGCCGCGUGCAGGAUGACGUCUCUAUGAGUUGUAAACUGCUUUUGCAUUAGGGUAAACAACCCUACGUGUAUGGGCUUGAAAGUAUAAUACGAAUAAGGAUCGGCUAAAUCCGUGCAAGCAGCAGCGGUAAUACGGAGGAUCCAAGCGUUAUCCGGAUGUAUUGGGUUUAAAGGGUGCGUAGUCGGUUUGAGAAGUUAGAGGUGAAAUACCGGUGCUCAACACCGGAACUGCAUCUAAUACUGUUGAACUAGAGAGUAGUUGCGGUAGGCGGAAUGUAUGGUGUAGCGGUGAAAUGCUUAGAGAUCAUACAGAACACCGAUUGCGAAGGCAGCUUACCAAACUAUAUCUGACGUUGAGGCACGAAAGCGUGGGUAGCAAACAGGAUUAGAUACCCGGGUAGUC